UACGGAAGGCAGCAGUGGGGAAUAUUGCACAAUGGGCGCAAGCCUGAUGCAGCCAUGCCGCGUGUAUGAAGAAGGCCUUCGGGUUGUAAAGUACUUUCAGCGGGGAGGAAGGCGAUGUGGUUAAUAACCGCGUCGAUUGACGUUACCCGCAGAAGAAGCACCGGCUAACUCCGUGCCAGCAGCCGCGGUAAUACGGAGGGUGCAAGCGUUAAUCGGAAUUACUGGGCGUAAAGCGCACGCAGGCGGUCUGUUAAGUCAGAUGUGAAAUCCCCGGGCUUAACCUGGGAACUGCAUUUUGAAACUGGCAGGCUUGAGUCUCGUAGAGGGGGUAGAAUUCCAGGUGUAGCGGUGAAAUGCGUAGAGAUCUGGAGGAAUACCGGUGGCGAAGGCGGCCCCUGGGACGAAGACUGACGCUCAGGUGCGAAAGCGUGGGGAGCAAACAGGAUUAGGAUACC
This 455-nucleotide ribosomal RNA is filed under the name uncultured bacterium. Its description in RNAcentral is "bacterial SSU rRNA". It matches the Rfam family "Bacterial small subunit ribosomal RNA", at positions 340 to 786 of the family's 1533-position model. The record is from RNAcentral.